Molecule: ribosomal RNA, 205 nt
Filed under: uncultured bacterium
Lineage: Bacteria
Description: partial 16S ribosomal RNA
Rfam family: Bacterial small subunit ribosomal RNA
Source: RNAcentral
GGAUUGUAGUCUGCAACUCGACUACAUGAAGCUGGAAUCGCUAGUAAUCGCGAAUCAGAAUGUCGCGGUGAAUACGUUCCCGGGUCUUGUACACACCGCCCGUCACACCAUGGGAGUCGUAAAUGCCCGAAGUCGGUGACCCAACCGCAAGGAGGGAGCCGCCGAAGGCAGGUAUGAUAACUGGGUGAAGUCGUAACAAGGUAGC